UCACACUCACACAAAAGUUUAUUAGAAAGGUAAAUUGAUGAUGCAAUUUAAGGUUUAGUAUAGUUGAUUCCUACAUAUAACAAAUACAGAAAAAUAUCUUCACAAACAAGUUUGAUUAAUCCCUUUUUGGCCAUGAAGCCAUAGGUGGAUCCUUGUACAAUACUUGGUGAAAAACCUACAUGGGAGGUGACUUGUUUUACAAGUAAAGGCUCAUUCCGUAUAAAUCAUAUAUAUCUUUGCAUUUAAUAAUUUGAAAGCUUUGAAGUCGUAUAGAUAAAAGCAUAAUAUUUGUUUAUUGUCGAAGAAUAUUAUCUAAA
Molecule: long non-coding RNA, 317 nt
Filed under: Gossypium barbadense (sea-island cotton)
Lineage: Eukaryota; Viridiplantae; Streptophyta; Magnoliopsida; Malvales; Malvaceae
Description: long non-coding RNA (GBAR_LNC023627)
Source: RNAcentral